Amphimedon queenslandica is the source of this 371-nucleotide long non-coding RNA. RefSeq lists it as uncharacterized. The transcript has 2 exons. The record is from RefSeq and is a predicted model, not a curated record. Lineage: Eukaryota; Metazoa; Porifera; Demospongiae; Haplosclerida; Niphatidae.
GAUUAUGAUAUAACUGCUUUCUUCUACUUGUAUUAUUAUUAUUAUUAUUCUAUUAUUAUUUUAUUUGUAGGUUUAUAAUGGCAGUAAUCCUUGUGUGUCUUGUGGUUCUGAUAUGACACAAAGUAAGAGUUCAUCACAUUGGGAAGGAGGUCAAGGCUGCCGUAACAAAGUGAAGAUGAGCAGGAAUGAUAGACAGAAAUAUGUAAAUUCAGAGAAGAAGACGGUGUCAAUGAAAAAUGAAAGAGUUGGAGUGAAAGGAAAGAACAAUAUAGACCAGAAGAGUGGAACAUUACGUAGCUAGAUUUAAACAUAUAAUACAGUAAUAAAAAUUUAAAUGUGGCACAAAAAUCAGCAUUAAUAGAAAAGGAAAA